Molecule: transfer RNA, 83 nt
Filed under: Pedobesia claviformis
Lineage: Eukaryota; Viridiplantae; Chlorophyta; Ulvophyceae; Bryopsidales; Derbesiaceae
Description: tRNA-Met
Rfam family: tRNA
About the family: Transfer RNA (tRNA) molecules are approximately 80 nucleotides in length. Their secondary structure includes four short double-helical elements and three loops (D, anti-codon, and T loops).
Source: RNAcentral
UGCAUGUAUGGCUGAGUGGUAAAGCGGCGGACUCAUAAUCCGUUUUCAUUAAUUUUCGCAGGUUCAAACCCUGCUGCAUGCAA